CCGAGUUACAAACUCCCAAAACCCCUGUGAACAUACCUAUCGUUGCUUCGGCGGAUCCGCCCCGGCGCCCUCGGGGCCCGGAUCAGGCGCCCGCCGGAGACCCCAAACUCUUGUAUUUCUUUAGUAUCUUCUGAGUAAACAAGCAAAUAAUUA
This 153-nucleotide unclassified non-coding RNA is filed under the name soil metagenome. Its description in RNAcentral is "partial internal transcribed spacer 1". The record is from RNAcentral.